This 485-nucleotide unclassified non-coding RNA is filed under the name Exophiala dermatitidis. Its description in RNAcentral is "sequence contains 18S rRNA gene, ITS1, 5.8S rRNA gene, ITS2, 28S rRNA gene". The stretch from base 209 to 363 matches the Rfam family "5.8S ribosomal RNA". The record is from RNAcentral. Lineage: Eukaryota; Fungi; Ascomycota; Eurotiomycetes; Chaetothyriales; Herpotrichiellaceae.
GAUCAUUAACGAGUUAGGGUCUUCUCAGGCCCGACCUCCCAACCCUUUGUUUACCCGACCCAUGUUGCUUCGGCGGGCCCGCCGUUUCGACGGCCGCCGGAGGACCGCCUAUUCAGGUCCUCUGGCCCGCGCCCGCCGGUAGCCAAUUCUACCAAACUCUUGAAUCAAAUCGUGUCCAAUGUCUGAGUAUAUUACAAAAUAAAAGCAAAACUUUCAACAACGGAUCUCUUGGUUCUGGCAUCGAUGAAGAACGCAGCGAAAUGCGAUAAGUAAUGCGAAUUGCAGAAUUCCAGUGAGUCAUCGAAUCUUUGAACGCACAUUGCGCCCUUUGGUAUUCCGAAGGGCAUGCCUGUUCGAGCGUCAUUAUCACCCCUCAAGCCCCCCGGCUUGGUGUUGGACGGUCUGGUCGAGCGUUUCCGCGCGACCCCUCCCAAAGACAAUGACGGCGGCCUGGUUGGACCCCCGGUACACGGAGCUUCUUCACU